CCUACGGGUGGCAGCAGUGGGGGAUAUUGCACAAUGGGGGGAACCCUGAUGCAGCGACGCCGCGUGGGUGAAGGAGCGUUUCGGCGCGUAAAGCCCUAUCGGCAGGGAAGAAGAUGACGGUACCUGACCAAGAAGCCCCGGCUAACUACGUGCCAGCAGCCGCGGUAAUACGUAGGGGGCAAGCGUUAUCCGGAUUUACUGGGGGUAAAGGGGGCGCAGACGGCAAUGCAAGCCAGGAGUGAAAGCCCGGGGCCCAACCCCGGGACCGCGCUUUGAACUUCAUGGCUGGAGUACCGGAGGGGCAGGGGGAAAUCCUAGUGUAGCGGUGAAAUGCGUAGAUAUUAGGAGGAACAACGGUGGGGAAGGCGGCCUGCUGGACCG
This 381-nucleotide ribosomal RNA is filed under the name uncultured bacterium. Its description in RNAcentral is "partial 16S ribosomal RNA". It matches the Rfam family "Bacterial small subunit ribosomal RNA", at positions 338 to 736 of the family's 1533-position model. The record is from RNAcentral.